This 497-nucleotide ribosomal RNA is filed under the name uncultured bacterium. Its description in RNAcentral is "partial 16S ribosomal RNA". It matches the Rfam family "Bacterial small subunit ribosomal RNA", at positions 28 to 507 of the family's 1533-position model. The record is from RNAcentral.
GAUGAACGCUGGCGGCGUGCCUAAUACAUGCAAGUCGAGCGAACAGACGAGGAGCUUGCUCCUCUGACGUUAGCGGCGGACGGGUGAGUAACACGUGGAUAACCUACCUAUAAGACUGGGAUAACUUCGGGAAACCGGAGCUAAUACCGGAUAAUAUAUUGAACCGCAUGGUUCAAUAGUGAAAGACGGUUUUGCUGUCACUUAUAGAUGGAUCCGCGCCGCAUUAGCUAGUUGGUAAGGUAACGGCUUACCAAGGCGACGAUGCGUAGCCGACCUGAGAGGGUGAUCGGCCAGCCUGGAACUGAGACACGGCCCAGACUCCUACGGGAGGCCGCAGUAGGGAAUCUUACGCAAUGGGCGAAAGCCUGACGGAGCAACGCCGCGGGAGUGAUGAAGGUCUUCGGAUCGUAAAACUCUGUUAUUAGGGAAGAGCAAAUGUGUAAGUAACUAUGCACGUCUUGACGGUACCUAAUCAGAAAGCCACGGCUAACUACGUG